AGCUCGUCCCAAGCCUGCCUGUCCCCAGCGUGGAGGCGGGACAGUAGAAGACUGGCUGAGGCUGGAGUUUGGAGUUUGACCCGCUCGGAGGCUCUCUCAGCAGUGGGCAUAUAGGAGGAAGGGUCACUGCUGUCUCCGGAAGCUCUUGGCUGCAAAGAGAGAGGAUCCCGGGUGUCUCCCUCCUUACAACCAUCACCACCUCUUAGUGCCUUAGAAGCCACUGACAGCCCCCCAGGGCAGGGAGCCCUGCAUCUGGAAUAAGGUAAGACAGCCCCUGCCCCCAGACAGGUAGCCACUCUCCAAACUGGGAAGUUGGUCUGGGGACAGGUGCUGGCAGAAGGACUCCAGCUGUCACCUGUGGGGCAGGGGAAGCUCAGCCCUCUCUGCAGAGAAAGCUUGUCAUACACCAGGACAAUGGAGUGUGUUCGUGGGGUAGGCAUGGUGGUGUGAAGCCAGCAGCCGGCAGCCAGCAGCACCGUACGUGGGUCCCAGCUCUUCCGCUUAAUCAAGGUCAGGGACAUUGAGCCAAACAUUUUGCCUCACCGAGUCUCAGGUUCCUUAUCUGUCAAUGGGAAU
This 576-nucleotide small RNA is filed under the name Pongo abelii (Sumatran orangutan). Its description in RNAcentral is "retained intron". Lineage: Eukaryota; Metazoa; Chordata; Mammalia; Primates; Hominidae. The record is from RNAcentral.